RNAcentral lists this ribosomal RNA (447 nucleotides) under uncultured bacterium. RNAcentral describes it as "bacterial SSU rRNA". It matches the Rfam family "Bacterial small subunit ribosomal RNA", at positions 80 to 518 of the family's 1533-position model. The record is from RNAcentral.
UAUCGGCCGGUGAGAGUGGCGGAAGGGCGAGGAACACGUGGGCAACCUGUCCCGGAGGUGGGGAAAACCGCUGGAAACGGCGGCCAAUACCGAAUGUAGCGCCCGCUCGCAUGAGCGGAGCGCCAAAGGGGCGAAAGCUCCCCCUCCCGAGGGCCCGCGCACCAUCAGCUAGUCGGCGGGGUAACGGCCACCGAGGCUCACGGUUAGCUGGUCUGAGAGGAUGGCCAGCCGCACUGGGACUGAGAUACUGCCCAGACUCCUACGGGAGGCUGCAGUCGAGGAUCAUUCGCAAUGGGCGAAAGCCUGACGAUGCGACGCUGCGUGGAAGGAUGAAGGCCCUCGGGUUGUAAACUCCUGUCAUGGGGGAAAAGGAAACGGGACCCAACACGUCCCCGAUUUGAUGGUACCCCAAGAGGAAGCGAUGGCUAACUCUGUGCCAGCAGCAGC